GAUGAACGCUGGCGGCGUGCCUAAUACAUGCAAGUCGAGCGAACAGACGAGGAGUUUGCUCCUCUGACGUUAGCGGCGGACGGGUGAGUAACACGUGGAUAACCUACCUAUAAGACUGGGAUAACUUCGGGAAACCGGAGCUAAUACCGGAUAAUAUAUUGAACCGCAUGGUUCAAUAGUGAAAGACGGUUUUGCUGUCACUUAUAGAUGGAUCCGCGCCGCAUUAGCUAGUUGGUAAGGUAACGGCUUACCAAGGCAACGAUGCGUAGCCGACCUGAGAGGGUGAUCGGCCACACUGGAACUGAGACACGGUCCAGACUCCUGCGGGAGGCAGCAGUAGGGAAUCUUCCGCAAUGGGCGAAAGCCUGACGGAGCAACGCCGCGUGAGUGAUGAAGGUCUUCGGAUCGUAAAACUCUGUUAUUAGGGAGAAACAAAUGUGUAAGUAACUAUGCACGUCUUGACGGUACCUAAUCAGAAAGCCACGGCUAACUACGUG
RNAcentral lists this ribosomal RNA (497 nucleotides) under uncultured bacterium. RNAcentral describes it as "partial 16S ribosomal RNA". It matches the Rfam family "Bacterial small subunit ribosomal RNA", at positions 28 to 507 of the family's 1533-position model. The record is from RNAcentral.